GACGAACGCUGGCGGCGUGCUUAACACAUGCAAGUCGAACGAAGAGCGAUGGAAGCUUGCUUCUAUCAAUCUUAGUGGCGAACGGGUGAGUAACGCGUAAUCAACCUGCCCUUCAGAGGGGGACAACAGUUGGAAACGACUGCUAAUACCGCAUACGAUCUAAUCUCGGCAUCGAGGAAAGAUGAAAGGUGGCCUCUAUUUAUAAGCUAUCACUGAAGGAGGGGAUUGCGUCUGAUUAGCUAGUUGGAGGGGUAACGGCCCACCAAGGCGAUGAUCAGUAGCCGGUCUGAGAGGAUGAACGGCCACAUUGGGACUGAGACACGGCCCAGACUCCUACGGGAGGCAGCAGUGGGGAAUCUUCCGCAAUGGACGAAAGUCUGACGGAGCAACGCCGCGUGAGUGAUGACGGCCUUCGGGUUGUAAAGCUCUGUUAAUCGGGACGAAAGGCCUUCUUGCGAACAGUUAGAAGGAUUGACGGUACCGGAAUAGAAAGCCACGGCUAACUACGC
RNAcentral lists this ribosomal RNA (509 nucleotides) under uncultured bacterium. RNAcentral's name for it is "partial 16S ribosomal RNA". It matches the Rfam family "Bacterial small subunit ribosomal RNA", at positions 28 to 506 of the family's 1533-position model. The record is from RNAcentral.